UCCGUAGGUGAACCUGCGGAGGGAUCAUUACCGAGUUUACAACUCCCAAACCCCUGUGAACAUACCUUAUGUUGCCUCGGCGGAUCAGCCCGCGCCCCGUAAAAAGGGACGGCCCGCCGCAGGAACCCUAAACUCUGUUUUUAGUGGAACUUCUGAGUAUAAAAAACAAAUAAAUCAAAACUUUCAACAACGGAUCUCUUGGUUCUGGCAUCGAUGAAGAACGCAGCAAAAUGCGAUAAGUAAUGUGAAUUGCAGAAUUCAGUGAAUCAUCGAAUCUUUGAACGCACAUUGCGCCCGCCAGUAUUCUGGCGGGCAUGCCUGUUCGAGCGUCAUUUCAACCCUCAAGCCCAGCUUGGUGUUGGGAGCUGCAGUCCUGCUGCACUCCCCAAAUACAUUGGCGGUCACGUCGAGCUUCCAUAGCGUAGUAAUUUACACAUCGUUACUGGUAAUCGUCGCGGCCACGCCGUUAAACCCCAACUUCUGAAUGUUGACCUCGGAUCAGGUAGGAAUACCCGCUGAACUUAAGCAUAUCAAUAAGCGGAGGAA
This 546-nucleotide ribosomal RNA is filed under the name fungal sp. Griff. DX-FIL4. RNAcentral's name for it is "eukaryotic LSU rRNA". The stretch from base 179 to 332 matches the Rfam family "5.8S ribosomal RNA". Lineage: Eukaryota; Fungi. The record is from RNAcentral.